RNAcentral lists this long non-coding RNA (253 nucleotides) under Lathyrus oleraceus (garden pea). Its description in RNAcentral is "Pisum sativum (pea) long non-coding RNA (PSAT_LNC038073)". Lineage: Eukaryota; Viridiplantae; Streptophyta; Magnoliopsida; Fabales; Fabaceae. The record is from RNAcentral.
CAACAUAUACUUCAUUAGCUACUAAUGUUCAAGACACCAUAAGUCCAUCAAAAAUUUCUCAAAUGAAAUAAAAUAAAACAUAAUAAAAUAGUAAAGACAAAAAUAAUAUGGGUUUGUGUUGGAAGUAUUUUCAGCAAAGUAAAUAUAAGUGGUAAAACAAAUCAAGUGAAAUGGAAAAUAAAAUGGGGUAAAAAUAAAUAAAACAAAGGAAAAGGAAAUAAAAUGAAGCAAAUGGGCAUGUUGGGGGUUGAAC